GGCGAAAUGGCAGAGCUGGUCGAUUGCGUCUGAUUUGAAAUCAGAUGAAUCUUAGGAUUCCGUGGGUUCGAAUCCCACUUUCGCCU
RNAcentral lists this transfer RNA (86 nucleotides) under Pseudo-nitzschia hainanensis. Its description in RNAcentral is "Pseudo-nitzschia sp. XChen-2010a tRNA-Ser". It matches the Rfam family "tRNA". Rfam says of the family: Transfer RNA (tRNA) molecules are approximately 80 nucleotides in length. Their secondary structure includes four short double-helical elements and three loops (D, anti-codon, and T loops). The record is from RNAcentral. Lineage: Eukaryota; Bacillariophyta; Bacillariophyceae; Bacillariales; Bacillariaceae.